AAGUCGUAACAAGGUUUCCGUAGGUGAACCUGCGGAAGGAUCAUUAUGGGAUGUUUGAUAUGGAUGUAGUGUGAACGGGAUUGUGCCUGGGGUGGUCUGAGUUGUCUUUGAGGUUACUCGAGCGACCGGCGCCCCACUUGUUAACCACCUUACCAUCUCUUGACUUACCUGGGAUCACUCCCAUGGGAUAAAACAACUUUUAGCAACGGAUCUCUAGGCUCUC
RNAcentral lists this unclassified non-coding RNA (223 nucleotides) under fungal sp. RNAcentral describes it as "partial internal transcribed spacer region". The stretch from base 1 to 46 matches the Rfam family "Eukaryotic small subunit ribosomal RNA", at positions 1786 to 1831 of the family's 1831-position model. Lineage: Eukaryota; Fungi. The record is from RNAcentral.